RNAcentral lists this ribosomal RNA (497 nucleotides) under uncultured bacterium. Its description in RNAcentral is "partial 16S ribosomal RNA". It matches the Rfam family "Bacterial small subunit ribosomal RNA", at positions 28 to 507 of the family's 1533-position model. The record is from RNAcentral.
GAUGAACGCUGGCGGCGUGCCUAAUACAUGCAAGUCGAGCGAACAGACGAGGAGCUUGCUCCUCUGACGUUAGCGGCGGACGGGUGAGUAACACGUGGAUAACCUACCUAUAAGACUGGGAUAACUUCGGGAAACCGGAGCUAAUACCGGAUAAUAUAUUGAACCGCAUGGUUCAAUAGUGAAAGACGGUUUUGCUGUCACUUAUAGAUGGAUCCGCGCGGCAUUAGCUAGUUGGUAAGGUAACGGCUUACCAAGGCAACGAUGCGUAGCCGACCUGAGAGGGUGAUCGGCCACACUGGAACUGAGACACGGUCCAGACUCCUACGGGAGGCAGCAGUAGGGAAUCUUCCGCAAUGGGCGAAAGCCUGACGGAGCAACGCCGCGUGAGUGAUGAAGGUCUUCGGAUCGUAAAACUCUGUUAUUAGGGAAGAACAGAUGUGUAAGUAACUGUGCACGUCUUGACGGUACCUAAUCAGAAAGCCACGGCUAACUACGUG